CUUGCUUGUCCUCCAAGCCGGGCACAGAGCCUAAAUAAGAUGAUUGGCCCAGUUAUUUUCCAGGCACCUGGAAUCUCAGCUGUGUCUAGUUCAAGCUGAGCUGGUUAGGAAGGACUAGCACAGACACCCUCCAGCUGGGCAUGUGCUGGCAUCCCUCGUGACCUUUUGAAAGUUCAGGGGCCUUCGCUUCGGCGCACCUGUGCAGAGCCCUGGUUAAGGCACGUUUUCCCGAUCACGCUCCUACACGCCCCAUGCCUCAGACAGCCCUGCUUCUUUAUUGGCUAUCCCACAAGUGCCACAAACCCCUUGGCUCCCAGGGGGCGGGUUUGAGAGAGCUUUUUUGGUCUUUGCGUGGCUGCCUAGUGAUGAAAUCUUUCCCGCCCACCCCUCCUCACAAGCUUCUUAGCGAUUUGGUUUUGCAUCUGGCAAAAUGCAUCUGGCAAAAUGAAGCUGGCCCAGUGACAAAUUUGGUUGCCUAACCAGGAGAUUUUUGCUGGCAGGGACCAGGUUGAGGAAGAGAGGGGAACAAAUGGAGAACGACGUAACUGGCUACUCCACUGGUGGCUGCCUUAACACAGGGACGAGCUGGACCAAAUCGAGGAACCCACAGGGGCUUAGCAAGAGGUUCUUGGAAAUACCAUCUGGCUGUCCUCCAUGUAGAUGGUCUUCUUUUUGUGGUAAGAAAUAGGUGUCACAGCACUGGAGUCUUCAUGCUGUUGGGUGGAGCCACAUCCUGGUGCCAAAAUUGUGAUCUUUUGGAGAGCUCAUGCUGAUCAAUAUUCCUGGGGCCUAUGCCACUAGUGUCCUAGCCCCCACAGUGAGCCACAGUAGACCCCUGCCUCCUGAAGAGACCCUCCAAGACCAGCAGUUGACAUUAUUCUUCCUGGAGAAGAGAAGAAUGCCAGGAGAAGGGCAUGAGAUUUGAAGAAUUAAGAAGAAUUAUAUUUGUUACACCAAGCAAAGAGUAGAAACUGCCCAAUAUUGGAAACUGAAAAGAGAAAAAUAUUGCAUGAACUUUCUGCCAGAAUGUUCAAAGAUGCAAAAAGUUGAUUUUAUAUGUGAUGUGUUCUCUGUCACCAGGGGAAACUAAGCAAUUACUAGAUAGAGAUGACAUUAGACAGGGUUCAAGUAAAUCUGGAGCAUUAGAUACUAAGUCCCCUCAUGCCUGAAUUCUAUAAAUACUGAAGAAAGAGGAAGACAAAUAUGAAGGCAUUUGGAGGGACUUUCCCCAUUAAAUAUAAACAUAAUGUAACAGGAAUUACAUUACAAUAAUCGAAUGUUAGUUCUGGUUCACAUUAUGUCAGGUAUAAAAUUCCACUGAUACCUUUAAAAUUGUUUUUCUAAUAAAUCCAACCAAGCAUGAAAUAACUUCUAGCUGCUUUAAUAAAGACUAAUAGAGGAAAUUACACUAAUGAGAGGCUAACAAAGCAGACCAAGAUGACCCUAAAAAGCAGGUGUCCUUUUCAGACAAGUCCAGUGAAUACCAUGCCUAAUCUAAGUGAGGGGUUUCUGUUCUCAUUUUCUCAAGAAAGGUUUUGGGAAUUUUAUCAGUAGGGGGCAUUGGUGUUCUAUCAACAGGAGAACUUGACUCAGAAUAAGUACUCGAUAAUUCUAAGCAUUUAAAAAUGAUCACAAAUCAAAGCAGUAGGGAAACGAUUUUUCUUAGAAAAAUCCACAUAGAAAUGUCGUCUAUUCUGAAUGAAAUUUAAAUAAAAGUACAGCAUGCACAUAUUUGGUUUUUCCAAGAUAAAUGAAAAAUGCCAGAGGCCUUAAACGGAGAGAGAAAAAUAUCACAGCAGCUGCAGAUUCAGCAUUUCCAAGUCCUAGGAAUUGGGAAGACAGCUGAAUUGGCAUCAUGGUGAACUAGCAUCACUAAUGCUCACAGCUCUCAUUUAGCUGUAAUGAGAGUGAAAUCAAAUAGUUCUUUCUGUGUUAGAACUUCUCUAAUACAACAAAUACUGCUUUAUCUUUUCUUCUCCUCUUUUACUGGCAUAGGCAAAAACAUAUAAUCGUGAAAAGAAUUAGGGGAAAAGGAAAAAAUCUUUAGAUUUGGAAUGCACAAUAUAUGAGAUAAAGAGCUACGUUUCUUCACUCAAACACAUACACAACCCCAGAUUGGUCAUGGAUGGAAAGAUGGUUAAACACCAAUAAAAAUCAAUGCAAAAUUUCCAGAUCUACCAUGACAUAAAUGCUAGAUGGCAGAUAGAAUUACUUAGGAAUUAUCAUACUUUAUAGAAAAUUUUGAUACUCCAUUUUUCUAGCUCCUCUUUCCUCAAAAAUACUUAGCUUUGUAUCUUAGAAGGUACAAUUCUGGGACUUAAAAUUUGAGAUCUUAAGAAAUAAUGCAAAGGAAGGAUACCUCAAAACACACAUAUACACAUACAUACACCUAUAGCUUUUUCUGAUUCAGUUCUAUUUGAAGCAUGAGAAGGCUGACUAUUUCCACCCUUAAUGCUCAUCCAGAUUUUUUACGUUCAUUCAACUCCUUCUAGGUAUAUGGCAGACAUGGACUAUGUACUAUAAAACUUGCCUUGACCUCUGGGGCCAUUGUCUGAACUCCUGGAAUAUGUGUUUCUAUUUGGGUAUAUUUUUCUCAGUGUAAUAAACUCUUAUAGUAUUUCUUCCUGGAUGCUGCCUGCAGUAACAGGAAGGAAAACAGCACUACUUUAAAACAGCACCCUAAAACAGAGUGGCAUUUUUACUUUGCUUUGUUUUUGAAUCACCAGCCUUUGUGUUUGGUGGUAAAAAACACCCAUUUUAGUUCAUCAAGGGUUUUGGAUCAAUCAAGAGAGAGAGAAGGUGUCAGAAAGAUCAAGAGAGUCCUGUGUUACUACUAAAGGUUAGGUCAGAGGAUAUGGCUUAACUAGAUCUUCUCAAACUGAACCACAGAAUUAAGUAGACUUACCUACUCAGUCACAGACAGCUAGAAAACCACAGUCUUUCCCCACAGAAAAGGCAUAGACUAGAACACAUGUUUCUUCUGGUGUCUGGCUCCCAAGGGGCAGGAAGGAGAAAAAAGCUGAGCUAUACGUGCCCAGGUCUUCUUCCAAAUUCAGCAAGGGUGAAAAUUCCACCCCAGGGGAAGGGCACCUGAAGGGGUAGAGAGAGGCCCUUAGAGAUAUCUCUUCAUGCAAAAGAAAAUACCAGGAGUGGGAAAUGUGCUUCCGAGAGCAUAAAUCACCUCAGUUCAUUCUUGUUUGGUAGGAUGAAUUGGAUUUUAUAAUAAUGAAAUUUAUUAUAAGUAACAGAACUCCGCAUCCAUGUCCUUAAUCUUUAAGCAGACCACAUUUCAUCACCCUGAUGAAUACAUCCUGGUUUUAUUCUGGAAUGGCUUGAAAUGAGAAGUGCUAUGUCUGGAUUUUCCUAUCCUUUAUUGAGCCCUUUAAUGCAUUUAAUUUUCAGAGAUAACUGGAUCCUUUCCAGGGGAGGGAGGAGAGAAGUACAUAGACAUCUGUAAUGAUUUCUGACAGCGUGACAUGGAGCACUGAUUUUUACAGCAGUAGCCAAAAUUACAGUAAUUAGAGAAAAUAUCCACAUCUUUAUAAACAGAGUGUUAACUGAUUCAAAAGGAACUUAAUGAGAACUUACAAGAGGAAGUGCACUUUUGCUGUUCAGUAUUAAACAUUAAUUAAAGUCAGAAGGCAAUAGUCAAAUUGCCUCUCCACUUCAGUCACUUGGCAAGGCAUAGAAAUUGGAGAGGCUUUAGAAUCUGCUGACUUUGCUGGCUGUGACCCUCCAAAUAGGUUCUCUAAAUUUAUAGUCCGAUUUAAUGCUGAAUUUUACUUCCUGUUAAAGAUUUUAAGGUCUGUUGAAACUGAGAGAUAAAAGCAUUCAAAUGCACAGCAUUUUAGACUUAGGCAUCUUAUUUUUAAAAAAGUAUUUUAAAAUGUCCUCUUUAUAAUUAGAAUAAGUAAAUGAAGCUAUAUCUGAAAUAUCAUUAUGAUCCCAACUAUGAAAUAAAAUUCACAUAGAAAAUACUAGAAGGACAUACAUUACAUUAUUGGUGGUGGGUUGCUUUUUUUGUAUGACUGAACAAUGAAUUAUUUUUUCUCCUUUUUCUUUCCUGCAAAUUACUUUUAUAAAUGGAAGAAUUAAGUUUUAAUUCUAAAAGUCUGCUUAUUCUUAUGGAAGAGUUGAAUCACUGCCCCUAAAUUGGCUAUAAAGUACUUAAGAGAACUACCUCUUGUUUCUAAGAUCUUGAGUGGAAAAUUCAAUGAACUAGAAAAUAAUAAACAUAGAUAACAGUUGA
Molecule: long non-coding RNA, 4249 nt
Organism: Phacochoerus africanus (Common warthog)
Lineage: Eukaryota; Metazoa; Chordata; Mammalia; Artiodactyla; Suidae
Exons: 5
Source: RefSeq, a predicted model, not a curated record